UACGGAGGGUGCGAGCGUUAAUCGGAAUCACUGGGCGUAAAGCGCGCGUAGGCGGCUUUUCAAGUCAGGGGUGAAAUCCCACGGCCCAACCGUGGAACUGCCUUUGAAACUGUAGAGCUUGAGUGUCGGAGAGGGUGGCGGAAUUCCAGGUGUAGGAGUGAAAUCCGUAGAUAUCUGGAGGAACACCGGUGGCGAAGGCGGCCACCUGGACGACAACUGACGCUGAGGUGCGAAGGCGUGGGUAGCAAACAGG
RNAcentral lists this ribosomal RNA (253 nucleotides) under uncultured bacterium. Its description in RNAcentral is "partial 16S ribosomal RNA". It matches the Rfam family "Bacterial small subunit ribosomal RNA", at positions 524 to 776 of the family's 1533-position model. The record is from RNAcentral.